This 591-nucleotide ribosomal RNA is filed under the name uncultured marine eukaryote. Its description in RNAcentral is "SSU rRNA". It matches the Rfam family "Eukaryotic small subunit ribosomal RNA", at positions 612 to 1211 of the family's 1831-position model. The record is from RNAcentral.
GUUGCAGUUAAAAAGCUCGUAGUUGGAUUUCGGGCCCAGGUGACCGGUCCGCCGUUUCGGUGUGCACUGGUUAGCUCGGUCUUUCUGCCGGGGACACGCUCCGUCUUAAUUGCCGGACGUGGAGUCGGCGAUGUUACUUUGAAAAAAUUAGAGUGUUCAAAGCAGGCUUACGCUCUGAAUACUAUAGCAUGGAAUAACACGAUAGGACUCCGAGCCUAUUUUGUUGGUCUUCGGGACCGGAGUAAUGAUUAAGAGGGACAGUUGGGGGCAUUCGUAUUACGGUGUCAGAGGUGAAAUUCUUGGAUUUCCGUAAGACGAACUUCUGCGAAAGCAUUUGCCAAGGAUGUUUUCAUUAAUCAAGAACGAAAGUUGGGGGCUCGAAGAUGAUCAGAUACCGUCGUAGUCUCAACCAUAAACGAUGCCGACUAGGGAUUGCAGGAUGUUAAUUCGAUGACUUCUGCAGCACCUUAAGAGAAAUCAAGGUUUUUGGGUUCCGGGGGGAGUAUGGUCGCAAGGCUGAAACUUAAAGGAAUUGACGGAAGGGCACCACCAGGCGUGGAGCCUGCGGCUUAAUUUGACUCAACACGGGGG